Molecule: ribosomal RNA, 165 nt
Filed under: uncultured bacterium
Lineage: Bacteria
Description: partial 16S rRNA
Rfam family: Bacterial small subunit ribosomal RNA
Source: RNAcentral
UAGGGAAUCUUCGGCAAUGGAUGAAAGUCUGACCGAGCAACGCCGCGUGAGUGAAGAAGGUUUUCGGAUCGUAAAACUCUGUUGGUAGAGAAGAACGUUGGUGAGAGUGGAAAGCUCAUCAAGUGACGGUAACUACCCAGAAAGGGACGGCUAACUACGUGCCAG